UACGUAGGUGGCAAGCGUUGUCCGGAUUUACUGGGCGUACAGGGCGUGCAGGCGGUUUGUUAAGUGCAGGGUGAAAGCUCCCGGCUCAACUGGGAGAGGUCCUUGCAUACUGGCGAACUCGAGGGAGGCAGAGGAAAGUGGAAUUCCCGGUGUAGUGGUGAUAUGCGUAGAUAUCGGGAGGAACACCUGUGGCGAAGGCGGCUUUCUGGGCCUUACCUGACGCUGAGACGCGAAAGCGUGGGGAGCGAACCGG
RNAcentral lists this ribosomal RNA (253 nucleotides) under uncultured bacterium. RNAcentral describes it as "partial 16S ribosomal RNA". It matches the Rfam family "Bacterial small subunit ribosomal RNA", at positions 524 to 776 of the family's 1533-position model. The record is from RNAcentral.